Molecule: long non-coding RNA, 3909 nt
Filed under: Ananas comosus (pineapple)
Lineage: Eukaryota; Viridiplantae; Streptophyta; Magnoliopsida; Poales; Bromeliaceae
Description: long non-coding RNA (ACOM_LNC014564)
Source: RNAcentral
UCGUACUCAUAAGUUAUUUUCAAUGUUGGGACUUUCAAAUCGACGAUUGAUUCCAUUAGACUUGAUCUAGAGUAUUUGAAGUGCUUAGAAAAUAAAUUUUAUAAUUUUUUUAUAUCAUUUGCUUAGUGAUCAAAGGGGCUCAAAAUCAACGGCUUAGUUUAUUGGCAAAUAAUUCAAGAAUUAGUUAGAUACGUUCGUAAACAAAUUAUUUUUUAGUCAUGUUUGGCUCAACAGAUCAAGAGAGAAGAAUAGUAAUUUCACCAAUUAGGCGGAACAAGUUAUUUUUAUAUUUUAUUUUUUUACUAAUUAAAUUAUAAAUAAGUAAUUAUAAAAUAUAAUUCAAUUAAUGUAAUCAAUUUUUAUUAAUUAAAUAAUUAAUCAUUUUGCUUAGUAAAUUUAUAAAUACUUAAAUAAUAAUUUGUUUAUUGUUUAUAAUUAAUUAUCUAAUUAAAUAAUUAAUAUUUGAUAUUCUUAUUCAAUCAUUAACUAAUAUUUAUAUUAUUUAAAUAAUUAAUACUUUAAUUUAUCUGAUUAAUGUAUUAUAUAAAAAUAAAUUAUUAACAUAUUGACUUAUAUUUUAUAGUUACUCACUAAUUAACAUUUUUUAUUGGAUUCUAAUUAACUUUUUAUAAACUAGGUAAAAUGUUAUUUUAUUAAUAUUUAAUUAGAUAUUUUUUCGUUUUUAAUGGUAAUUACUCUUAUUACUAGUACCCAACCAAAUUAUCCAAAUAUAAUUUUUCUUAUUUCUCUAAAUAUCUCGAUUUUCGUCUAAAUAUAAAAUUAGUUUAAUUUCUGUCUAUUUCAAUAUUACAUCUAUUCAAAAAAUAAAUAAAAAUAGUUUAUUCUUUAAACAAAUGUUCGAAACAUUUUACGCAUUACGGAAUAGAGUACAUAUAUAAAUUCUUUAGAUUUAUGAAAGACAAAAAUAUGAUACAGUGGAUCAUUUUAUAUCACUCAAUUGUUUUAUAUAUGUGCAAAUUAUUAUCUUCUUGUGUCAUUAUAUGUAGUCCACUUAUUGUGAACAUUUGACUAAUAAUUGUCAUGUCAUGUAGCGGAAUAAUUGUGACUUUUUUUGGGGGGAGAAUAAUUUUGAAUAAUUGGCUAAUAAAUUUAUUAUUUUCAUAUAAUAUGUCACAUUGAUUAUUCUCAAUUUUGUAUUUUCGUAUAGGACACAUCCCGAACCCCUAUUAAAUUAAUUAAUUAUCUUUGUAUUGACUUUUGUUGCUUGAUAUUUGUAGGGAAUUGCAUUGGGGACCUUUUUUUAAUUACAGAUGAUUUAAUUAAAAUAAAUAGAUUAAUAAUAUUUCAUAACAUUUAAUUUUGUGAUGUAGUAUUCGUACAAUUUUGAAAAAUUUGACCUGACCUGGUUUAAUAUCACUUGUUUUUGCUAUUGAGUAUUAAUAAAAAUAGCUAAUUGUAUUACAUUCACUACAACAAAAACGGUCUAUAGCGACACUUUUAAAUAUAGGUAUAUGUUAAAAAAGUACUGCUAGCUAAAAUUACCGACACUUUUAAAAAGUGUUGCUAUAUGUGGGGUCGCUAGGUAUAUAGUGACAGUUAAAGAGUGUAGCUAUAACCUAAAAGAGUGCUGCUAAUUUACCAACACUUAUUUAAGCAUUUAGCAACCGCCGAAACUCUAUCUCAUUGGCUGCGGUGACGGAUGAGGAUGACAGGAAAGGUUCUUCGUCUAGAAUUUCAGUGGAUUGAGUGAAGAGAUAAAAAAAAGAUAGUAAUUCAUUUUUCUUUUUCUUUUUUUCUUUUCUGUUUGUAAUCGGGUCAAAUGGACUGAGUGUGGUGGGUUGAGUAGAGUAAUCUUUUAAUUUUGGUUGGAUUGGGCUUUAUAUUUAGGCAUAAGUAGAUAUUUUUUUAAGUUUUAGUGUAAAUGGGAUACUUACUCAAAAGUGUCCCAAACAUGUGUCCCUAUAACCUAAUUCUGUUGUAGUGAUUAUCCUAUUAAUUUGUCUCUUGAAGGUAAGAGAAUAUUAGAUUAAAAAACUUUGAAUCAAUUUUAUAUGUAAUAGGAAGGUUAAAUUAAAUUAAACAAAUGAGCUUAUCUAAACUACGGAUUAUUUGGAUUUGGCCGCCGAAACUUUCAAAAUUUUGAAUUUACUAUCUAAUUUUUUAAUUUGUUUGACUUAAGCCAAUCAACGACAUUUUAAUUUUAAAAUUUGAAUGUGUUUUUUUAUCUUUUCAAGUUUAAUUAAUAUAUUUUAUAUAAUUCUCGUAACUAUAAAUUUAUUAAAACUGAUAAUUAAUUGAAAUUUUGGAGUCAAAAUGUCAUUUACUUGCUUAAGUCAAAUAAAUUGAAAGAUUGGAUAGUAAAAUCAAAAUUUUAAAAAAUACGAUAGCUAAAUUCAAAUAGUUUAUAGUUCAUAUAAGUUCUAUACAAUAUUAUCCGUCUCAAGUAAAAAUGGAUAUGCUAAUAUUACAUGUUUUGGCUAUUAACUAUUAAAAUUAACUAAUUGUAGACAUUAUUAUUAUCAUAUUAAUUUAUCAUUUUAGAGAAAAAGAAACUCUAUAAUAUAUAUAAUAAUAAUAGAUAUAUAUUAUUCUUCCUAAAUUUGUCACAUGGCAUAGCUUUCUUCAUUGUUGAGUAUGGGCUCCAUUCCGAUCUGGCUCAAGUUCUUCAUAUAUAUUUCUCUUUCUUCGUGUAAAACGAACUAGAUUUUUCUCUUUCAGAUCGAACCAAUUAUUGUUGAGUGUGGCAUUUUCCGAACUGGCUCAGGUUCUUCAUAUAUAUUUUUUUUGGCUUUAUUUGAAUCGAAUCGGGUCAUAUCUCUGUAUUGGGCCAAACUGUUCAUUUUCUACUUUUUUCUGUUGUUAUCUUUCUUCGUCGACAAGAUGAAUCUCACUUCUUAUCGUCGCUAGCUCCUUUUCUUACUAUUUUCUCUUUCUUUAUCAAUAUUUUUUAUUUUUUUCAAUUAUCUAUUUGUCGCAUCGUAUCGAUUACUAUACUGUAGUAGUACAUCACAAACUUGGAAUCUUUUUAAUUUGUAAAUGAAAUGGGGACCAAGUAAUAUUUAUACGUCUCGUUUUCGCGAAAGCAACUCCCCACCCACUCCAUUACCCUGUCCCUGUGUGUGUGUGUGUGUGUGUGUGUGUGUGUGUGAAAGCAAAACACGGUUGAUAUGAUCAUGGUAUUGUAAGCUUUUAUGCCCUUGGGAGGAAGCUUCACUUUCGCAGAGACUUUUUUUUCUAUAAUAAUAAUAUUAUUCUCUCUUGUGUGCAUGCAUGUAUAUAUGUGUGUGUAGGGAAAAAGCCAAUGAAAAAAAAAAGGCAAAGUAUUAUUUCACGAAAGGGGAAAAAAAGAAAAAAAGGAAAGAAAAUAAUGAGGGGUUGUGCUUUGAGUGCGAAAGGGCCACUCUUUGUCUCCACUUUGAAUCCGCUUCUUUAAUUUUUAGUAUUAUUGAUUUAUUUCUUCUUCGUUUCCCAAACCCCCCCAGGUGUCGUGAUUGCAACACAUACCUGCAAAUUAUUCGUAAAUUUAUGGAUAUAUAUAUAUAUAUAUAUAUAUAUAUAUAGAAUUAGGCUACUAUACUAUUUAUAUUACCGAGCUUCGGUACUAUAGUGUUUGUUUUCGAUCUUAGGGCGUUCAAAUCAACGAUCCACACCGUUAAAUAUGAUCUAGGGUAUAUGAAUUUCUUAGGAAUAAAAUUUUAGUUUUUUUCGAUAUCGUUUACUUAGUAAAUAAAUUAUGUCAAAAUGGACGGUAAAAAUUGAAUAAUUUUUAAAAUUUGAGCAUAGAACUUUUAAAUUCAAGAUCAAGAAUGUUAACCUUAAUCUAUAUAGUUUAAAGUAUUUUCUAUCAAAAUUUGAAGAAAAUUUAGAUUCUUCUACACGUUAAACUCCAAACUCGUCAUAAUAGCCAUUGAAAAUUGACAAUUUUGAAAUAGUUUGAUCAUAAAGUAA